RNAcentral lists this transfer RNA (78 nucleotides) under Sphaerodactylus townsendi. RNAcentral's name for it is "tRNA-Ala". Lineage: Eukaryota; Metazoa; Chordata; Lepidosauria; Squamata; Sphaerodactylidae. The record is from RNAcentral.
GGAGAUAGGCCAUGGCUCAGUGGCAGAGCAUUUGCUCAGCAUGCAUAAAAGUCCCAGGUUCAAUGCCUAGCAUCUCCC